Humulus lupulus (European hop) is the source of this 452-nucleotide long non-coding RNA. RefSeq lists it as uncharacterized. The record is from RefSeq and is a predicted model, not a curated record. The transcript is spliced from 3 exons. NCBI's taxonomy places the organism in Eukaryota, Viridiplantae, Streptophyta, Magnoliopsida, Rosales, Cannabaceae.
UCAGAGGCUGCAAGUUGCUAGGUUAUUGUGAGAGUGUAAACACUUGGGUUGGGGAUUAUAAGCUUAAUCAUUUUUAAGCUUACCAAACACUUGGGAAGUAAGGUUUAUAAUACAUUUCGGUUCAAGGUUUAGAUUGGUCAUAAAGCAUUCAAGGUAUUCCAAAACUCUAGUUCAUUUGGUAUUAUUUUCUUCAAGUUCUUAUAGUUUUCUACUCAGCCCCUAACUUUAUUCUUUAUUCUUGGAUAAGAAAUCUAAGUUCUUGAGCAUAAGGUUUUUGGAGUGUUCCAAGGUCCCAAAUCAGUUCUCAUAUCCCGAUUAUUUUGGAAAAUAGCUAUAGUGGCGGGAAAGGUUCUUGGAUGCUUGGGAAUGUGUAUUGAGGCGGAAUGGAUUCAAAGAGCCGAGAGUUUCGAUUUGAGGAUGAAGUCUUUAUUAUGGUUUUAUGUGUAUUUUUC